CCCGACUGCUAUUUGGGUGAGAAUAAGCCAUGCGAGUUGAAUGGGAUACCUAAAGUUCCCAUAGCAAACUGCUCAGUAACACAUGAUCAACUUACCCUAUAGAGAAAAAUAACCUCGGGAAACUGAGGAUAAUGUUUCAUAAUUGAAUUGGCUUGGAAAAGUUUUUCAAUGAAAAGGAUAAAAAAAAUGGUUUUUAUCUGCUAUAGGAUAGGAUCGUGUUCGAUUAUGGUUGUUGGUGAGAUAAUGGCUCACCAAGCCGAUAAUCGAUAGGGGCCGUGAGAGCGGGAGCCCCGAGAUGGGUACUGAGACAACGACCCAGGCCUUACGAGGCGCAGCAGGCGCGGAACCUCCGCAAUACACGAAAGUGUGACGGGGUUACCCAAAGUGUUCAAUAGAACUGUGGUAGGUGAGUAAUGUCCCCUACUAGAAAGGAGAGGGCAAGGCUGGUGCCAGCCGCCGCGGUAAAACCAGCUCUUCAAGUGGUCGGGAUAAUUAUUGGGCUUAAAGUGUCCGUAGCCGGUUUAGUAAGUUCCUGGUAAAAUCGGGUAGCUUAACUAUCUGCAUGCUAGGAAUACUGCUAUACUAGAGGGCGGGAGAGGUCUGAGGUACUACAGGGGUAGGGGUGAAAUCUUAUAAUCCUUGUAGGACCACCAGUGGCGAAGGCGUCAGACUGGAACGCGCCUGACGGUGAGGGACGAAAGCCAGGGGAGCGAACCGGAUUAGAUACCCGGGUAGUCCUGGCCGUAAACGAUGCAUACUAGGUGAUGGUACGGCCAUGAGCCGUAUCAGUGCCGUAGGGAAACCGUUAAGUGUGCCGCCUGGGAAGUACGGUCGCAAGGCUAAAAC
This 846-nucleotide ribosomal RNA is filed under the name uncultured archaeon. Its description in RNAcentral is "bacterial SSU rRNA". It matches the Rfam family "Archaeal small subunit ribosomal RNA", at positions 21 to 855 of the family's 1478-position model. The record is from RNAcentral.